RNAcentral lists this ribosomal RNA (523 nucleotides) under uncultured bacterium. RNAcentral's name for it is "bacterial SSU rRNA". It matches the Rfam family "Bacterial small subunit ribosomal RNA", at positions 355 to 896 of the family's 1533-position model. The record is from RNAcentral.
UGGGGAAUCUUGCACAAUGGGCGAAAGCCUGAUGCAGCCAUGCCGCGUGAAUGAUGAAGGCCUUAGGGUUGUAAAAUUCUUUCGCUAGGGACGAUAAUGACGGUACCUAGUAAAGAAGCCCCGGCUAACUUCGUGCCAGCAGCCGCGGUAAUACGAAGGGGGCUAGCGUUGUUCGGAAUUACUGGGCGUAAAGCGCACGUAGGCGGAUUAACAAGUUGGAUGUGAAAUCCCGAUGCUCAACAUCGGAACUGCAUUCAAAACUGUUAGUCUAGAGGCCAGGAGAGGUCAGUGGAAUACCGAGUGUAGAGGUGAAAUUCGUAGAUAUUCGGUGGAACACCAGUGGCGAAGGCGACUGACUGGACUGGUACUGACGCUGAGGUGCGAAAGUGUGGGGAGCAAACAGGAUUAGAUACCCUGGUAGUCCACACCGUAAACGAUGAGAGCUAGUUGUCUGCACGCAUGCGUGUAGGUGACGCAGCUAACGCAUUAAGCUCUCCGCCUGGGGAGUACGGCCGCAAGGUUA